ACUCUAAACUGCCAGAACUUCAGUUUUGGCUUAUUUGAGUGCACUGAGUCUAUUUUUGCAUCCAUAUCGUGCCAAAACAACUCUGAAUUAUCCCAACACUCUACAGAUGUGUCGACCAGUUGCUGAUACUGUAGCCAUUCCGACAGCUAAACCCCAGCGACACUACAUCAAUUUUUAUUUCUAAUUGAAUUAAAGAAUAAUUAAAUAUUCAUAAUAUCUUAUGAGAUAAGAUUUUGACUAGAAUUGAUCUAGAUAAGUAUGAAUAUUUAAUUGUAAAAUUUAAUUGGAGAGAGUAAAUCUUAUUCGGAGUAAUUUAGUUGCAUAGUAACAUGAGAAUAAUCCGCCGGUAAUAGUUUUAUUUAUUGGUUUUUGAUUUUCAUAUGCGAU
This 387-nucleotide long non-coding RNA is filed under the name Ananas comosus (pineapple). Its description in RNAcentral is "long non-coding RNA (ACOM_LNC024182)". The record is from RNAcentral. Lineage: Eukaryota; Viridiplantae; Streptophyta; Magnoliopsida; Poales; Bromeliaceae.